This 947-nucleotide long non-coding RNA is filed under the name Calidris pugnax (ruff). RNAcentral describes it as "lncRNA (ENSCPUG00000001591.1)". Lineage: Eukaryota; Metazoa; Chordata; Aves; Charadriiformes; Scolopacidae. The record is from RNAcentral.
CUGGUACAGAAGAUAAAAGGUGGAGGGAAGAACCAUCACCCGUGUGCCAGGCAGCCGUUGGCUUUAUUGAGCCAUCAGGCCAACUCAGUGGUUCAUUUUCCACAUGAUUGUGUUCAAACCAGCUCCUCAUGUCUUCGAGGAAAGUUCAAUAUAAAGCAGCAAACAAGAAGCCAUCCCAUGCUGCUUCUCAUUUGGCUUGGAAAGCAGCAGGAACACAAGGAGGGAAGAAACUCUGGGAGUAAAGAUACGGAGACCUGUGACAACAGUGAUAUGUCCUCCUUUAAGUUUUCUCCUUGACGCUUUCCCGAAACGACACUGGGAGGAAGUAAGUUGUCAAUUGAAAAUCAUCACUUAUUAUUAGCCGUGGAAAGCAAAUUACUUUAGUUAAGAAACCAAUGUGUAACAGAUUUGCAUUUAUUUCCUGUAGGCGUAGUUAACAGGAAAUCUAUUUGAAAUAGAAAUAAUUAGAAAACUACAGUGGGUGCUUUUAGAACCAUAGAACCAUUUAGGUUGGAAAAUACCUUUAAAAUCAUCAAGUUCAACUGUCUCACUUUUCCUGAGAAGAGUAAUUUUUGUCUGGCCAGAAAUUCGUGCUCCGUGUUUUGGUGAAUUCUUGAAAACACAGAAGGGUUAGAAAGAAGACUGAAGAGAAUAGGGAAAAAUAGUCAAUUAGUCAACAAAGUCUGAUAAAAAUUUAAACAAGUCACAGAAAAGCAAUAGUGCAGAAUGCACCUGCAGGAUCUCCGUGGACACUCUCCUAAGAAAGCAAAGCCAAUCACACCUUCCAAAUUAAAAUGAUGUCUUUUCCAUGCAUAUAUAAUGACUGAAAUGGCCAGUAAUUCUGUAACACUCACAGGGUGGUGGGUAGAAAACACAGAAAAUGAUGCUGAGAUUGCAAACUAUCCUAUUGUUCAUAACUGUCAUUGAAAUAUGAGAGGAUCUAUCCC